CCUACGGGUGGCAGCAGUGGGGAAUAUUGCACAAUGGGGGAAACCCUGAUGCAGCGACGCCGCGUGAGUGAAGAAGUAUUUCGGUAUGUAAAGCUCUAUCAGCAGGGAAGAAAAAAGACGGUACCUGACUAAGAAGCCCCGGCUAACUCCGUGCCAGCAGCCGCGGUAAUACGUAGGGGGCAAGCGUUAUCCGGAUUUACUGGGUGUAAAGGGAGCGUAGACGGCGCGGCAAGUCUGAAGUGAAAGGCAGGGGCUUAACCCCUGAACUGCUUUGGAAACAGCCAUGCUGGAGUGCUGGAGAGGUAAGUGGAAUUCCUAGUGUAGCGGUGAAAUGCGUAGAUAUUAGGAGGAACACCAGUGGCGAAGGCGGCUUACUGGACAGUAACUGACGUUGAGGCUCGAAAGCGUGGGGAGCAAACAGGAUUAGAUACCCUGGUAGUC
Molecule: ribosomal RNA, 441 nt
Filed under: uncultured bacterium
Lineage: Bacteria
Description: partial 16S ribosomal RNA
Rfam family: Bacterial small subunit ribosomal RNA
Source: RNAcentral